Xenopus laevis (African clawed frog) is the source of this 665-nucleotide long non-coding RNA. RefSeq lists it as uncharacterized. Lineage: Eukaryota; Metazoa; Chordata; Amphibia; Anura; Pipidae. The record is from RefSeq and is a predicted model, not a curated record. The transcript is spliced from 4 exons.
GAGAUCCACACACCAGCCACUAGCACUAGUUCUAGGCAGUAUAUUUCUCAUAUAAGUUAAUGGGAAGCAGCUGCCAGUGGGAAGAACAUUCUGACUGCCCUUUAUGAGAUGUACUAUAAUUAAUAUGCCCCGUUGCCAUGAACAUAAUGUGGUUUCAUGACACAUCCUUAUAGCAGUAUAACAUGAUAUGAUGUUUAAUAAAUCCAAUGUAACCCUUGUGAAUACAAUUUCUUUAUUCCACUAGGAGGAAGUGGCUUGGAGACGACUCAGGCUGAUGCUGCAAAGAUUAACCCUUUGGAUAUUAACAACUACGAGUUCUACGGAAAGCUCGGGGAAGGAGCCUUUGCCACUACUGUGUUGGCGACAUUACGUGGCAGCAAGAAACAUCUCGCCAUAAAGAUCCAGGAGAAAUCAGAGGAGGAUUAUGACAUCAUCCUUACAGAAUCCGAAAUUUUCAAGAUUGCCAAGGACAGUCCUUUCCUAUGCCAUGGCUUGGCUGCUUUCCAAUCAGAGCAUCGCGCCUUCCUCGUCCUGGAAUACCUGAGUGGGGGAAACCUGGAAGAUCUGAUAGAUGAAUCCGGCUACCUGCCAAGGCCCUCUGUAGAGUUCUACUCUGCUGAGAUAGCAUGCGGCCUGGAAUUUCUUCAUGACAGGGAAAUUGUUCA